Molecule: ribosomal RNA, 684 nt
Filed under: Bacillus subtilis
Lineage: Bacteria; Bacillati; Bacillota; Bacilli; Caryophanales; Bacillaceae
Description: bacterial SSU rRNA
Rfam family: Bacterial small subunit ribosomal RNA
Source: RNAcentral
AGGGCUCGCAGGCGGUUUUCUAAGUUCUGAGGUGAAAGCCCCCGGCUCAACCGGGGAGGGUCAUUGGAAACUGGGGAACUUGAGUGCAGAAGAGGAGAGUGGAAUUCCACGUGUAGCGGUGAAAUGCGUAGAGAUGUGGAGGAACACCAGUGGCGAAGGCGACUCUCUGGUCUGUAACUGACGCUGAGGAGCGAAAGCGUGGGGAGCGAACAGGAUUAGAUACCCUGGUAGUCCACGCCGUAAACGAUGAGUGCUAAGUGUUAGGGGGUUUCCGCCCCUUAGUGCUGCAGCUAACGCAUUAAGCACUCCGCCUGGGGAGUACGGUCGCAAGACUGAAACUCAAAGGAAUUGACGGGGGCCCGCACAAGCGGUGGAGCAUGUGGUUUAAUUCGAAGCAACGCGAAGAACCUUACCAGGUCUUGACAUCCUCUGACAAUCCUAGAGAUAGGACGUCCCCUUCGGGGGCAGAGUGACAGGUGGUGCAUGGUUGUCGUCAGCUCGUGUCGUGAGAUGUUGGGUUAAGUCCCGCAACGAGCGCAACCCUUGAUCUUAGUUGCCAGCAUUCAGUUGGGCACUCUAAGGUGACUGCCGGUGACAAACCGGAGGAAGGUGGGGAUGACGUCAAAUCAUCAUGCCCCUUAUGACCUGGGCUACACACGUGCUACAAUGGACAGAACAAAGGGC